RNAcentral lists this long non-coding RNA (285 nucleotides) under Lathyrus oleraceus (garden pea). RNAcentral's name for it is "Pisum sativum (pea) long non-coding RNA (PSAT_LNC031229)". The record is from RNAcentral. Lineage: Eukaryota; Viridiplantae; Streptophyta; Magnoliopsida; Fabales; Fabaceae.
UUUAUCUCUCUACUCCCAUGCCUCUCUCUCUACUCUUUAACAUUCCCCCCUUCUCUUUAGACCACCACACAUUUUCAACCUUCGCCCCCAAACCCUAUUCCACCCAGAAACUAACCUAACCUACCCUAAAUCCAAUCAAACCUUACCUAAACCAUAAAUUAGUUCUUCUUAAACUCAAUCCAAACUUGAAAUCCAAAAAUCAAACCAAACUCCUCAAACUCUAAAGGUCAAACCCACUCUUUUGUCUUACCUAAAUCGAGCCCAACCGUAACCCAAAUUGCUUCA